RNAcentral lists this ribosomal RNA (410 nucleotides) under uncultured microorganism. RNAcentral's name for it is "bacterial SSU rRNA". It matches the Rfam family "Archaeal small subunit ribosomal RNA", at positions 330 to 745 of the family's 1478-position model. The record is from RNAcentral.
GCGCAGCAGGCGAGAAAACUUUACAAUGUGCGAAAGCACGAUAAGGGAACUCUGAGUGCCUCCUAAGGAGGCUGUUCUGAUGUCUAAAAAGCAACAGAAGUAAGGGCUGGGUAAGACCGGUGCCAGCCGCCGCGGUAACACCGGCAGCCCAAGUGGUAGCCACGUUUAUUGGGUCUAAAGCGUUCGUAGCCGGCCAGGUAAGUUCCUUGGUAAAUUUAGCCGCUUAACGGUUAAGCUUUCGGGGAAUACUGCUUGGCUUGGGACUGGGAGAGGUCAGAGGUACUCCGGGGGUAGGGGUGAAAUCUAUUAAUCCCUGGGGGACCACCGGUAGCGAAGGCGUCUGACCAGACCAGGUCCGACGGUGAGGGACGAAGGCUAGGGGCGCGAACCGGAUUAGAUACCCCUGUAGU